UCUACAAAAUUUAAAUUUCAAGUGGCAUAAUAAAUGUCAUUGCUCUGAAGUACAAUUCAGAAUUGCAAAUGUUCAUGGCAAAUGUAAAAAAUAAAUUCUGGGAUGUUGUUAGCAAAACCUCCUAUUGAUGAUACUUGGGGAGUGAGGGGGAACAUAUACACUGGAGAACCUCAGAGUCCAAAACCUCUGCAGAAACCCUGUCAUUACAAAUAUAUUUCAUGAAAGGAAUGAAUACUUGUUGGAUCACUGUUCACGAUACAGAUAAAGCAAAACAACAACAACAACAACAAAAGCAUCAAAAACUACCUUGCUCUACCAAACUGAAAAUCUCUUUCUUCAUAGGAAGUUAGCCAUUUUUUCAAAUAAGAUUCGAAAAGUUCCUACGUUAACAAAUGUUGAAAAGAUUACAUUCAUAGAAACUUAGGGAGCGAAUAUAUUAUUGACAUUGUGGUACCAGGAUAUUACAGGCUGAAGUGCUGGGUUCAAAUUAUGAUUCUACCAGUCAUUUGCUAUCUUUGUGACCCUAGGCAACUUCACAACCUAGUUAACCUUUUUGAGCUUUUUACAAAAUGUAAUAAUAAUUACACUUCACUGAAACGUUACUGAGUUCAAAUAGAAGGUGUCUGUGCAGCUUGCCAACAGCACUUAGAAAAUGGUGGGCAUCCCCUAGGUGUCGAUUAUUAUUUGUAUUUUAGCUUUCUUGCCCUCAAUUACAAUUCUUCUAAGGCAUCCUUCUUCCUCUGACCUGUCUUCCGCUGACAGUUCAAGGCAGGGACUGGAACAACAAGAGUUCCUCUGAUCUUCAGUUCUCUUUGGAGAGAAAAUAUUAAAAGCAAGACCCAGAGCCUUGGCCUGUGGGCCUGGCAAAUGCUUCAGUUUUCAACCAGAAACAGGAAGAAGCACUUUCAUCACCUGUCCAGUUCUCCAAAUGAAAAGAACCAAGUCCUGAGUCUCAGAUCCAUUUGGCUUUCCUCUUGUGUCAGUGACAUGGGGGAGAAGGGUUCGAAACUCAAGGUCGGGAUGCAUGCAUAGUCUUCUCCAACUUGGAGCUUUAGUUCCACUAAUUACUAGCACAGUUUCAAGCAUUAAGACACCUAUACUCUGGAAACUUUGGCUUACUACUCUUGCCUGUAUUUUUUUUUUUCAUUUUUUACACUCAAUAAGGGGACAAAAAUCAUCUGUCAACAGAACUACUCUGACAAUAGUGACUUUCUAAUUAAUCAGUCUUCAAAACAAGUUAUCCUCAGUCUCUUUAUAUUACAGGUAAGAAAACUGAGGUCCACGGAGGUAAGAUUGCUUGUUACAUGUCUGUAUCUUCCUUCUCUUGCUCUGGCACUAAAAUAAACGGCAGAGGUGAAAGUAGUAGUCUUUUCACUGGAACUGGAAGCUUUAAAGCUGAAUUCUUUCCUUAGUUAAUUUCUAUCUCUGGUCUUUUAAUCACUUUACUCAACCUCCUUGCAUCUUAUGGCUCUCUAUUAAAACCCUGUCUCUAUAUUAGGGCUUUUCUAAAAUCCUAAAUUUAGAAAUCUGGAGUAAUUAGAAAAUAAUUUGGGGGGCACCUGGGUGGCUCAGUCCAGCUUCAGUUCAGGUCAUUAUCUCGUGGUUCGUGGGUUCAUGCCCCACAUUAGGCUCGCUGCUGUCAGCACAGAGCCUUCUUCUGAUCCUCCUCUGUCCUCCUCUCUCUCUGCCCCUCCACCGCUCAUGUUCUCUUUCUCUCAAAAAUAAAUAAAAAAUGAUAAUUUUCAUAACUGCUUCACCUGUUGAACAGGGGAGCGGGUGUGGAGAGAGGAGAAGGGGCUAAUUACUGUGGUUAUUUUGUCUCUUCAAAAAAUUUUAAAAUAGAUCUGAGAAAAGUACAUUUUUCCAGAAGAAACAAACUUGGCAAGAAUGAUUUUAUGUGUAAAAAACUUACCAGUAUUUAAGGUAAUAUGAAUUUAUGACAAAAUAAGUUUGACACAGUCCAGUAUUCACUGGUUUUAGAUGGUCAGAAUGAGAGUCAGAGAUUGAUACAAGGACCAAACUCAUUCAUUUAAAAAUUUUUCUAAAGGAAAAUCCUUUAGAGAUGACUCCAUCUUUUUGAGCUAGUCAAGAUCUUAGGGGAAAAAAAAGUCUAGUCCUGUGCUGAAGAAACCAAAGCCCAUGUGUAUUAAGUGACUCACUCAAAGGCAGAGCCGUAAUUCUUAUCCAAGUUUCCUGGUUCCUAAUUUACUCUCUCCAUUUAACCACCAGUGACACUACAUAAGCAAAAUAAAGCAUAACUCCUCUCACAUUUACUACAACUGUCAGCCAAAGCACUAAAGAGAUAUCCUAAUACCUUUAACCCAACUUCAUCUUAAAAACACACAAAUGUUGGAAAUGUAAGCAUGCCUUUGAUUUUCUACAUGAAAAAAAUCAUUAGCACACUGAUCUAAUUUUAUUUUAAAUUCCUGAAGGUUCCCAGGUCACUCAGCAUUUUCACCAAUGCAUCCAAUACAUUCUUUGACACAUAACCAUACGUAUAGGAUCUAGUUAAUGACUGAAAACUUAGCACCAAUUUUACAGACCUACCUGAAAAAUAACCAGUUUUAUAUAUGGCUUAGGGUAGUGACAGCCUGUGUAGGGGAUCAGUGAAAUUAGGAGUCCUAAUUAACCUCAGCAGACCCUAACAUCUGUGCUUGAUGUAGUUGAGAUUAUACUUGUCACAUAAGACAUGUUCUAUAACCAGGACUCAUUCCAAGCCCAUGAGCAGACCUCAGGAUCACUGUAUUAUCUGUGAGCUAGGCAAUUAUUGACGCUGAUCCAGAAUUACAGUUAAACAGGUUUGCCUUUCAGGAAUGAAAUUGACACACUGUUAACGCUGGAGUAUUGGGAGCUAAGCUGAAACUAUGAAGGCUCUCUGAUGAGAUCAACAGAUUGCUUUUAUGACCUGUAUCUUAGUUUAUGGUUUUACAGCAGCAAAUAUAGAGUGCUGUAAUUCCUGUACGCAGAAUAAAGUCUGCUUACUAUCCCUUAAAAGCAUUUUAUCACUUGAGGAGUGGGUAUUUUGAAAAUUUUUAUUCUAAUUUUGUGCUUCCGUAUGUAAACACUGGAGCACAAACCUGACUUGAAAUCCUCUAACUUGAUAUGCUUGGAAGAGACUAUAGAGAACUUGUUUAAGACUCCUAUUCAACAAAUGGGGAAAAGGUAAAGUCCAAUAUAGUUGUAGGGGUACAUACUAAAGAACAUGGCUUAAAGUUUAAUACAAUAUUGCAACAAAAAAUAAACCCCACUGAGUAAAUUGUUAUAAUUCAUCCCAAUUAGCAAUAACUGGUACUUUUUAACUGAGUGAAAAUAAGCUGAUGAACUGUGCCCCACACUAGCUUUAAAGGGAAGUGUGCUUAGUAGUAGAGUUAAAGAAUUAAGAAGGAAACAAAAUGAAGACAUCUAGAGACUCAAAUGUUUCUUUUUUUCCCUUGCUAACAGAUAAGAAGUGGUUCUUCUUAAAAAACUUGCCUUUUAAAGGAAAGGGAACCAGGAGGGCCAGUCUGCUAAAUUACCCCACCCAUAGCCUUGAAACAGAAAGUAAAAGGGAUUCCUUACUCAAAUGACUUUGCUUAUCCUCUCGAACAAGAGUUAGAGAUUAAUUUAUUAAUCUUUUAAAAAAUGGUUAAGAUUAUUGAUUACCAAUAAAAUAAUUGCAAAUAGUCAGUAUGGCUUGUGGAGUAUCCCCAUUUCUUCUCUACCACACAAUGAUUCAGUUUCUCUGCACAGUACUGUUUCCUCUUUGAUAUUUGUUUCUUAUUCUAUGCACCUGUGUUCCAUGAAAGCUUCUCCAGAACCUUGCCUUCUUUUUCACCCAGUACUUUCAAUGGUGCUCAGUGUAUAGCAAACACUCAUUUUUGUUAAAUGAAUAAGAACUGUAUAUACAUUAUAUAAAGCAUAUGUCACUGUUCUAUGAAAGCAUGAGUGAAGUAUUUAAAUGAGAUUUGGGCAAUCUUGAAUUUAUUACAAAGCAGCUAAAGCUGAAUAUCCUCAUUUUGUUUGAAUAGAACCCCAAUAAAAAUAAAUGGGUUCCCAUUUGCUGCUCAAUACCAUAAUGUCAUUAAUUACUCGUCUUUAGAAACACAAUUCCUAAACUCUGUGAUGAGAACAUGGGACCUAAGAAAAUCAGAAUUGGUAACCGACAUCAACUUAAUCAUGUUAUAAGGAGAGAAAAGUGAGAUGGGGGAUAUAUUUCACAUGUCAUCAGAUGGCUUUCCUGGCAAGGCAUUUAUCCUGAUAUCUUACUAUUAAAAUUUCCUUGCCAUUUUCUAAAGCUAUCUUCUAAGUCAAGUUACUUCCUAGAGGAAUUAACAGUAGUGUUUUCCCACAGGAUGCUAGUUCCAUCAGAUAAAAAAGCUGUGGGAUGUCAAAGGUAUCACCACAAACAAGUUGAAAGGGUGUCAAAGUUUACAAAAUGCCUUCAUAAACAGAAUUUUUCAAAUUUUUAAACACACCACCACGUAUAUACUGAAGAACUCAAAGUUGGGGAUCUAAAGCACUGUUUACUAAACUCACCUGGCCCCAGAGCUUCCCCCACCCCCUACCCAACAAAACAUAUUAGUGUUCUGUGGAAUAAUUUCUGAUGUGAAGGAUGAGGGAUAAGAAAAUUAUGGCGAAUUCUGCAUCCUGGCAAGGCCUCCAGGGCACUACCUGGGCUAUAAGGAAGCUUCACUUAAUUCACAUUCAUGGGCCUACCUAUAUCUCUACUUAAAUGGCUGCCACAAAUAUUUAGUAGGCUCAUUUAUGUACUUUAUAAACACCUGGAAUUUUUUUCCACAGGAACUGGGGCUGUAACAAUUUAUAAAAUUAUAAAUUCUCACCCUUAUGUAGUUUAUAUUCUAGUGAUCUUCAAUUCUUAGUAUCAGCAGAUACUUCAGGAGGGUCUUUUCAUGUCAUUAUACACUGGGUGGGGCAAGCCUGAUUUUUAUUUAAAAUUUUCAAAAGCUUUAUAUUUUAAGUGAUCACAUGUUAGUUCAACAAAAUACGAUGAGCUUCCCAAAAUCUAACCCCUUUCUGCAUACUUUCUUUACCUCUGACAAGGUUAUAUGGCCACCUCACCUCCCCUCACUUCACCUCCCGUGCAUCUGGGGGAAUCCACUCAGUAGUGCCCUGGUUUUGGAAUCAGGUGAGUAUAAACAGCCUACUUGCAUUUCAACUGCCAUAGCUUAAUGGGGUUGAUUUUAAGAUUCUCCAAAGUCAGUUCCAACCACCGCCAAAGAGGUAUCUCUUACUAGCUAAAAGGAAACCAUCUAUUUAUUCAGUUCUAUACCAUUUAGACACAGGUGUGCUUUCGUAAGUAGGUAACAACUUUCUAAGGGGGAAAAAUAAUAGAGGGAAAAAGAAAUUUUUUAAUAAAAGAAUAGCUUUCUAUCUGGCCACAUAGUAAUUUGAAUAAACAUUCUUCCAUGAAAUCUUUAUCAUUCAACACUUCAUGUGAUCUGCUAUCAACCAACCUUAUCUCCCUGUUCCCCCACCCCAAAAAACCACCUAUAUAAUCCCAGCCAAAUAUGAUUUAUCACUUUUAUAAUUACCUCCAGGCUCUUUCCCCUGGAGGGCUAUUUCUGUACUCCAUGUAACUCCAUACAUUGUACUCCAUACAAUUUAGUUACAAGGUAAUCUGUACUUGUUUAAACCCCACCCCUAAGGUCCAUCCUAAAUAGUACCUACUUCAUGAAAUGGUCUUUGACCCUACCUCCAACCACAGCUGUAAGUUACCUACCAUAUUUAUAGCUCCUUUACCACAUUUCUUGCUUCACCACAAUAGUUUCUAUAAAUGCCCUGAAAGGCAGAGACAUUGGUCUUCCAUUCUUACCAAAAAAAAAAAAAGACAAGCAACCAAAAUACAUACUUCCACCAGUGCAAUUUUUGGAGACUGAGCAAAAUGCUAAUAUUAGGUCAUGUAUGAAACUUCCAUUUGUGUAGGUAAACACUGUCAAAUCAAUUUCAUAUGGCUCAAGCUAUACUACAAAAGGAUAGGCUAAAGUAUAUUUGAAUUUGGACAUUACAUGGUAUUUAUCUGGGAGGAGAGUAGGACUAACUCCUUUUGUAUCCCAAUCUUGUAAAUCUACAAGAGAACUAGUACCCAAUAAUGAUUUAAAGUCUUUCCUCUCACAGGAGGAAAUUUCAGUCAGUUUCUCAGGAGCUGACCUUAAUGUUUCUAACUACUACUGUUAACCUACCCAAUACAAAAGGCAGACACUAAAGGCUGAUUAAUAUUUAAACUUUUCAAAGUCAAAUAUUUUGGUCCUCAAAAAUACCAGUAUGUGGCAAUGGGUGGGGAGAGACCAUGCCAACUGGCUUAAGAAUCCCAACAGUGCUUUUACAUUCUGCUUAUGUGACCAUACCCAAAAAUUCUGUAAUUAAAAUAUCAAAGCAAAUGUACCAAUUAGAAAUAACACUGCAAUGAUUUUGAGGGUCAAGGACCCAAAGAUUUUUAAAUAUUUAUUUCAUAUCCCUUCAAAAUACCAAAUUCUAAACACUAAUACUUUGCAAGUUUUCCACAUUUUAUUUGUAUGAAAAAUACCCAGCUGCACAGCAGCUACCUUAGAGGCAGAUAUUAAAAUGAAUAUGCUAAAAUGGAUAUAAAAUUUAAAGCAUUUGCCUAUAUUAAUAUAGCAUACUAACAGGUAAAAUCCUGACCAAAAAUGGAUUCCCAAGUAAGCCUUUUUGUUUGUCCAAAGUUCAAUCAGCAAAAGGGUGUUUCUAUUUUCUGGGAUCUGAAAAUGAGGAUGUUCUAAAGUUCAUGGAUUUUCUCAGCAUUAAUAGAUAAAUUUUAAAAGUAGCCCCACAGUCAUAAAAACUUUUAAACAAAAUGCAACCUGAGUAAAAUUAUUUUAAGGGCAUAUAACCUGUUUUUUAAAAAUUUCAUGAUUUUUCAAAGUGAUUGUUGUAGCCCUUAACUAAUGAAAGAGGUUCCUCCUUAUCAUACACAUGCAUCAUCCAAAACCAGUGAUACUCCAAAUUGGUUUUGCAGAUUAGUGCAAAUAUGCUGCUGUGGCAACUGUGGAAUGAACAGGCCAAUACUGAAAAUCUCCUCAAGAAAGGGCCACAGGUGAUUUGGGGAACCUGGAAACUCUGCCUGUGCUUGUUAACAACAAAUACCGCCUUCUGAGGGAUAUAAGGCUUCUAAAUCAGGAGACUCUCACACCAUCCAAGGUGGACCUCAACUCUUUGUACAUGACCACCACCUAAGAAGCCAAAGAAAAUAACUCCUGGAUGGCUGACUGUACUCCUUCCUAUAUGGUCUCAGACACGAACACAUGAUGCUAACUUUAUGAUAAAGUGUGGCUCCUGUCCUGUAUACCAUGAGACUAGUGUCAAGUAUGGCCUGUGACAGUCUUGUGAGUCUGUAUGUUUAGCUGAAUCUAACAUGACCUCCUUGUAGAAGCUGCAGAAGUUCAAAGUACAAGUCUCCAGAUUUAAGGGGAUUCAAGAGAAAAACGUAUCUACUUGAGUAACAGGGAGGAUAAGGAAUAACAUCAUGAGGUUUCACUAAAGGUGAGACUACUUCUGAAAGAUAUAGAGGACUUUGAACAUUUGAAGAAAUGUUGAAGAAAUGAAGAAAUACCAAGUAUUUCUUCUAUUGAAAAAAAUACAUAUUUUUUAAAAGCAAUAAUGGGGGCACCUGGCUGGCUCAGUUGGUAGGGCAUAUGAUUCUUAUCUUGGAGUCAUGAGUUCAAGCCCCAUGCUGGUGUAGAGAUUAAAAAUAAAAUCUUUUAAAAAAUAAUAAAAAGCAGUAAUGGUAGAGAAAGACAAUAUCCCAUGCAUACGCAAAAAGAGGAAAAAAAUGGCACGGGGAGUCUUCAAGGAGUACAGAGAGGUCAGUUAGACUUCAGAAUAUUGUUUGUUUAGUUAGCUGUUUGUCAAAAUUACGUAACACACAAAACCCUGCAAUGGAGGGGCAUUUUUCUUUGUAAGAUUUAGAUUUAGAGAAACACUACAUUAAACUAGGUCUUUAGGUCAUCUGUGUACCAACGGCAUCAACACAAACACUUGCACUGAAAUCUCAUGGUAGUAUUCAGUAUAAAGUGGUGGUCAUCCAGGAUCACUCUAAACAUAAAUUCUCUACCUAGCUCGAAAUUAAAAUAACAAAAAAUUAAAGCUUCAUAAGGCUAAUUGAGCACCAUGGGGAUUACAUCCAUAGAUCUCAAUAUAACUAACACAGAUUAAACAUUGAGGGCCUCGUGUUUGCCGGGGACUAUGAAAGACAAAAUGACAAGACACUGUCCCUAUCUUCAAGGAACUUAGAAUAAUAUAGUUUUAGUCAUUCAAUAAACAUUUUGGUACACAUUAAGUAGAAGACACUGAGAUGCUGGAAAUUAAAAAAUAAAGAAGGAAAAGUGGUCCUUCUCAAGAAAGUGAUGUAUGGGGAAGACAAGUAUAUCAGUGAUUACAGUAGUGUCAUCAGAGGUCUAUGCAUAGGGGUUCUUCGUAAUAGUAAUCACAUUCACCAAAUUUUAAAGAAUGAAAAGUUAACAAGCCUGAGAACUAAGAGAGGUGGAAGAAAUGGAGAGGGUAUUCCAGACAGAAAGUACACAUGCAGUCAGAGGUACAAACAUCAAGAUAUGUUUAAGCAUGUUUCUCUACACAAGACUGACAGAACACCAGCAUCACAAUCACCUGUAAUGCAUGUUAUAAUUGUUUUACACUCUCCUUAACCAAAUGAAUAAAACAUUUUAAAGAUCAGGCUCAGAAAUCUGCAUUUUAAUAAGCACUUUCAACCUUAUGUUCACUGGAGUUUAGGAAGCACAGAUUAAGAAUUGGUUAUGUACCUCAACACCACAAAAUUCCAAAUAAUCCAGUUUAAAAAUGGGCAGAGGACCUGAAUAGACAUUUUUCCAAAGAAGAUACAGAUGGCCAACAGACACACGGAAAGAUGUUCACCAUCACUAAUCAUGAAGGAAAUGCAAAUAAAAACCACAAUGAGGGUAUCACCUUACACCUGUCAGAAUGGCCAGAAUCAAAAAGACAACAAAUAAGUAUUGGUAUGGAUGUGGAGAAAAAGGAAUGCUCAUGCACUGUUGGUGGGAAUGUAAACUGGGGCAGGCACUCUGGAAAAUAGUAUGGCGGAUCCUCAAAAAAUUAAAAAUAGAAUUACCAUAUGAUCCAGUAAUUCUACUACUAGAUGCCCAAAGAAAAUGAAAAUACUGAUUUGAAAAGAUAUAUGCAUGCCUAUGUUUACUGCAGCAUUAUUUACAAUAGCCAAGUUAUGGAACCAACCCAGGUGUCCAUCAGCAAAUGAAUGGAUGAAGACGUGGUAUGUGUGUACAUAUACAUACACAUAUGUACACACACACACACACACACACACACACACACAGGAAUAUUACUUAGCCAUAAAAAUGAAUGAGAUCUUGCUAUUUGUAACAACAUGAAUGGACACAGAAGGUAUAAUGCUAAGUAAGAGAAAAAUACAAAAACAAUUUCACUCGUGGAAUUUAAGAAACAAAACAAAUGAACAAAGAAAAAGAAGAGACAAAAAUAAACUCUUACAUACAGAGAACUGGUGAUUGCCAGACAGGAGGGAUGGGUGAAAUAGAUAAAAGAGAUUAAGUGUACACUUAUCAUGAUGAGCACUGAGCAAUGUAUAAAACUGCUGAAUCACUAUACUGUACACCUGAAAUUAAUAGAACACUGUAUGUUAAUUAUACUUCAAUAAAAAGAGAGAGAGAAAAGAAUUUGUAAAAUUCAGAGCAGACAGAGUUAAAGGUAUGGAGAAGGGGCCAGAGAUGAAGGCAGGUAAGUCAGCCAAGGACCAGUUCAAAAAGUACCCUAGGUAUCUAGCUAAGCCACUAAUAGCUGUUUCUCCACCAAGCAAGGUUACAAUGUGAUCACAGAAGCAGCAUUUCAAGAUAAAGCUGAGGGCUUCAAAUGUGAGGUGAGGUUGAAUAAUCUGUAUAUACUUCUUCCAGAUUCAGUAGGUUCAGGAAAAGAUCUGAGCCUGAUCAGAGGAUGUAAAGAGUGCUUCCUCUCCAAGACUCCUUCCCCAUCCCUACUUACAAAUAAGUUACCUUUACUCAGUUUUCUUCACUGAAAAAUACUUAGUACUCUGUCUAGUUUCAAAGUAAUUCACAUGAGCAAAUGGUACCCAGGGUCCAAUUUAGUAACUUUUUUAUUUAAGAAAGAGAUAUUAAAAUGUGCAACUUGCUAUUUCAACUAAUAAUUUCUGCAAUUGAGUUCCUUCAAUUCUCAAGUACGGGACCAACUCACCAUGGUGAUUUACCCUACAUUAAUUUUUUUUUUUAAGUAGGCUUCAGGUCCAGCUCAGAGCCCAAUGUGGGGCUUGAACUCACAACCCUGAGAUCAAGACCUGAGGGGAGAUUAAGUCAGACAACCAAUUGAGCCACCCAGGUGCCCCUACAUUAAUUUUUAUUAUGUACAGAACACAGCACAUUAACCACUGUUAGAUUCAUGUGGUAUUUAGUUACUUUCAACAACAUGUUGAAUAAAACUUUCACAAAUAUUUCAUUACAUAAAGACGACUUAUCUCUUAGUAAUCUCUUAAUUUGUCAAUUACACUUCAAUUACACUAUCAACAAGAAGUUCCUAUUAAUUCUCUAGCAGCCUUCCUUACUUCUGAAAUCUUACCAAAGUUGGCACUCAUUUGCCAAAUACGUUUUAGAAUCUCUUUUCAUCCACUUAAUUUCUUUGCUUUUUAAACGUUUAUUUAUUUAUUUUGAGAGAGAGAACACAAGCAGGGAAGGGGCAAAACAGAGACAGAGAAAAUCCCAAACAGGCUCCACGCUGCCACCACACAGAGUGACAUGGGGGUCGAACCCAUGAACCAUGAGAUCAUGACCUGAGCCAAAACCAAGAGUUGGAUGCUUAACCGACUGAGCCACCCAGGUGCCCCUCAUUCACUUAACUUCUAAUUAUUACAUGACAUGCCAAACUUCUUUUCGUCUUCCCUUCCCUUUAACAGAUUGUUCUGAAUUCUGAAAGAAGCGUUUUGUUUGUUUGUUUUAUUUACAAAAGCAUCUUUUGUUUGGCUAAUUAGCCACACAAAGCUUAAAUCAGAUUCAAGUGCCCAUCUUUGAUGUACAGCAUAUUACUACCAAGCUUCCAAAAAGGGAUCUUUACACAGACUCUAGAGUUAGGAAAAUGAAAUUAUAUAUAUAUUUUAAUGUUUAUUUAUUUUUGAGAGAGAGAGUGCAAGCAGGGAAGGGGCAGAGAAAGAGGGGGACAGGGGAUCCAAAGCGGCUCUGCACUGACAGCAGUGAGCCUGAUGCAGGGUUCGAACUCAGGAACCCAUAAGAUCAUGACCUGGGUAGAAGUCUAACGCUCAACCAAUAGAGCCACCCAGGUACCACAAAAUUAUAUUUUAAACUCCUACUUUUAACUUCACACUCUGGGAAAUUUCAUCAUUUAAUCUGUCAUCAGUUAAAGAAAAUGUGACUUAAAAUUUCCCAGUCAAAAUACUAUCACUUAAAUCCCAUCACUUGUUAAAAUUCUAAUACUGGAGAAUUUUAUAUCCCUCCUGCUUCUACAUUCUGUCCUAACAUACUCUAUUACAGUCAUAUACAGUCACUUGGGUGAUAUACAUAGUAUAUCAUAGUUGUUGUUUUAUUUCUGCUAGCUUCCUAAUGCCUUUAUUUCCCAGCUUCCUGAAAUAGGUACUAUCCAGAACAGCUACUUUAAAGAACUACAGCAUUCACCUCACUGAAAGCACACCAAUUGCAUAAGAUUUUUUUUACAUACAAGAGACACUUUGUUCAAUUCUAUAACCCCUUACAUCUUUCUACAAAGGAGAGGCUAUAAAAUAUUUCCAGCUUUAGUUCGGUCUCUCCUAAACAACUGAAAUAAAAUCGGCUAAGAUAUGCAUAUUCAACAAUCAUUUCUACGUAAUAAGCUUCAGGGUUAACCAAGAGACCUACCUUCAAACAACAGCAUUCAUGACCCAAUCCUUAUAUGCCAGGCCCUGUGGGAGGUGCUGCACAUCGAGUGAUGUAUAAUAAAGCAGAUGUUUGUAACUCAUGAAGCUUGUAUUUCAGUAAAAAGGACAAAAUAAUGAAAGAAAACAAGACUGUUUCAGAGGGAUUCUCAGAUACUAUUUUAGACAGUGUGCAGAGGAAAGGCCUCACUGAAAAGUUAUAUUUGAGCUCAGCUAAGACUAUGCUAAGAGCAAAAAAAGAACGCUGCAGGUAGUUGGAACAAGUACAAAGGCCCUGGGACAGUAACAAGUUUAGACUGUUUAAAAUAACAAGGAAAAUAAUAUCCAUAUGGGAACAACAGUAGGCUAAGGAGAGAAUAUUGAGUAGAGACUAAUAAAGUGGGGUCUAUGGUGCCAAAAGAAGUUAGGAUUUUAAGCAAAUCAAAACAAAACAAAAGAAUCACUGGAAGGUUUUCAAGUGGGAGAGAUUUAAGAUUUGGUUUAUGCUUCAGAAGAAUCAUAUUACGUUCAAGAGAAUGAAUUGUAGACAGCAAAAGACAAAUACGGAGAUUACUGUAGUAUCCAGGUGCAAGAUGAACAGGGCUUAGACUAGGACAACGUAGAAAUGGAGAGAAGUGUACUGAUUCUCAAUGUAUUUUGGAGGGAGACAAAGGAUUAACCAAUGAAUCAGAUGUGGUGGGUGACCAAGAAUGACACCUUCGGGCAUUGGCUUAAGCAAGUGGAUAGAGAUGGAGUUAUUUGAAGAAAAAGAUGAGACUGGAACAGAGGGAAACAGAUUUGGAGGAAGAAAAUCAAGCAAAAAAUGAAAAAGAGUAGCCAGUUAAGUGUGGUAACCACGAAGCCAACAGAGUUAAAUCUUUCUAGUAGGAGGAAAUGGUUAUUUAUAUCAAAUGUUGAUAAAUCUAUAUAAAUUAUAGGAAACUACUAAUUAGUUUGACAAUAUAGAUAUUUAUAGUGGUGUUGUGUGGCUUAACGCUGAGUGCAAACCCUCCCAAGGAGUUUGCUAUAAAGAGGAACAGAAAAAUGGAUUAAGAAAUAAAAAGGGGCAGCAGUUUUAAGAUAUUUGUCUGAGAUGGGAAUGAUCUAAUUAGAAAGAAAUUUGAAGAUGCAGGAAAUAUAGGAUACCUGGCAGGUGAGAGUAAAAUGUAAAGAUCCUGAAAGAUGAGGGGGGAUGAGAUCCAGAGAGCAAGUGAAAGAACAAUGCUCUAUUAAAAGUGACAUUUUUCCAUUUUAUAAGAAGAAAAACAAAAUUUGAAUGUAAGAUUUUAGAUGUGGAGCUGUGUUCCCAGCAUCUAAAACAGUGGAUGGCAGAAUAUAAGCCCUUAAAUAAAUAUAUAUUAAUAAGAAAUUCCUAUCAAGUUGUUUUUACAUUUUAAAAUAAAGUCAUACCACUGGACAGUGCUUGCUUAAGCCAAAGAAAUCAGAGAAGAAUGGAACUCUUUACCUGAAAGAUUCACUUUCUGUAAACAAGAAGUCAGCAAACUAUGAUCCCUGAACCAAAGCCAGCACAAUGCCUGAUUUUGGAAAUAAAGUUUUAUUAGAACUCAGUCAUGCCCAUUCAUUAAUAUAUACUAUCUGGCUUUCCAGCUAUAACAGAGCUGAGUAGUUUCAACAGAAACCAUAUUGUUCUAAAUCUUAAAUAUUUACUCUUUGGCCCUUUCGAGAAAAAGUCUGUUGACUACAGCUCUAAAUUUAAUUUAAUUUUAAAUUCCAAAAUAAUCUGUAAAGUGAAGAAGGAUUCUCUACAACACACAUUGUAGAGACACACAUCUCUAUUUUACAGUCACGAAAUACCUAAGAGGUCUAGUAAUGCAGGGGUAGUCCCAUAUAGUUAUGGGUAGAGCUCAUGAGAUAGAAUUAGGUUGAGCAAGAUUUGGAAGUCAUGAGCAUGCAGGAAAUGGUGAAAAGCUAUAGAAGUGGGUAAAACCUCCAGGACACUUUACUAGAAAGCAUAAAUACUUAACACUUAGGAGAAGAAACAUUAAAAAAAAAAAAAAAGAUUAAGGUAUAAAAAGAAAACCAGAUGGAGAAUAGUUUGGUGGUUUCUUAUAAUGUUAAACAUAGAAUUAACUUAAGACCUAGUAAUUCCACUCCUAAGUAUAUAUCCCCCCAAAAAACUGAAAUCAAAGACUCAAA
Molecule: long non-coding RNA, 14026 nt
Organism: Neofelis nebulosa (Clouded leopard)
Lineage: Eukaryota; Metazoa; Chordata; Mammalia; Carnivora; Felidae
Exons: 2
Source: RefSeq, a predicted model, not a curated record